CCUACGGGUGGCAGCAGUGAGGAAUAUUGGUCAAUGGGCGCAAGCCUGAACCAGCCACGUCGCGUGAGCGAUGACGGCCCUCCGGUUGGUAAACCUCUUUUUCAGGGGAGCAACGGACGCCACGUGUGGCGUAACUGAGGGUAAACUACGUGACAGCAGCGGCUGAAUUCCGUAGAGGGGCAGCGUUAAUCCGAAUUACUGGGCGUAAAUGCUGCGUAGGUGGUUUCUUAAGUCAGAGGUGAAAUGCUUUGGCUCAACCGUCACAAGCCUGUGAAACUGGGGUACUUGAGUGGAAGAGAAGUAUGAGGAAUUCUUGGUGUAGCGGUGAAAUGCAUAGAUAUAACGAAGAACACCGAUUGCGAAGGCAGCUCUCUAAGCUAUGUCUGACGCUGAGGCACGAAAGCGUGGGGAGCAAACAGGAUUAGAUACCCUGGUAGUC
This 439-nucleotide ribosomal RNA is filed under the name uncultured bacterium. RNAcentral describes it as "partial 16S ribosomal RNA". It matches the Rfam family "Bacterial small subunit ribosomal RNA", at positions 338 to 795 of the family's 1533-position model. The record is from RNAcentral.